This 1050-nucleotide long non-coding RNA is filed under the name Bemisia tabaci. RNAcentral's name for it is "lncRNA ENSSSA3NGG005831". Lineage: Eukaryota; Metazoa; Arthropoda; Insecta; Hemiptera; Aleyrodidae. The record is from RNAcentral.
AUGUCUCAUUCUGAACCAGUCAGAAGAGGGAAUUCAGUUGGUAGAGGAGUCCUGCUAGAAAAUCCUGGAAUGCAGCCAGGAAUAGGAAGUUCCAUCAGAGGAGGAAAUGCAGCUACCUCAGAAUUUAGGGGAAAUUUUACUGGUGCUAAUAGAGACAAUUAUAGUAGCCAAGGAGAUAUCAAUAGAUCAGAUAGUUAUAACACUGGUUCUUUUGGUAGAGGGAGCUCUUGUGGGAGGGGAAAUAAAUUGAGUGACUCUUAUAAUCAAGAUUUUCAGACUGGAAACCUUGGGAAUGUGGUCGGAAGAGGACAAUCUAAUGCUCAGUUAAAAUCUACUGGUCGAGGAGUUGCUUCAAACCAGUUUAGCUCAGGAGAAAACGCAAAUAAAGAAAAAUCCAUGGGCAGAGGAAAUCUGUACGUUUCAAAAUCUGUCGGUCACGGAAGUCUUUUUUCUCAUCCUGGAAAUGGUGACUACGAUAGAACCUCAGUUGGCCGUGGAAGAGCGAUGACAAUGAUGCAGUCCACGAAUAAUUUCAGAGGUAAGUUUCAACCAGAAAUUUCUCAUGAUUCAUUUCAGGCCGUCUACGACAGCUUCAAGGAUUUACAAAUCGUAGACUUCAGUCCAGCCUCUAAUCCUUCUGGUAAAAAUAAACCAAGAGCAAAUUUCGAAGUUCCUUUAGUCGCAGGCUCUCUUCCAAAACCUAGUCCCUUCUCUACAGCAGCCUUACCAGUGGACGUCAAUGUUAAUCCAAGUGCAUCCAGCAUGAAUAAGCUAAGAAGAAAAAAAACCAAAAGAAGAAGAAAAACCAAAAGGAGAAAACUGUUGAACAGACUUCAUCGGAGCCCACUGAGGUUGACUCUUCCGCUGGAGCAGAAUCCAUUAGCAAAAGCUCUCAGCAACCACAGAGUGGUCCAAACAUUAAAAUACUUGACAGAAGUAUGGAUCCAAAAAAGUACUUUGGAGGUGAUAGUUGUAAAGAUUUGGAACCCAAGCAAGAUUCUAGCCUCGACAAACCAAACUCAAAUAUUAGUGACUCUAAAACUGCUCUGA